This 236-nucleotide ribosomal RNA is filed under the name uncultured bacterium. RNAcentral describes it as "partial 16S ribosomal RNA". It matches the Rfam family "Bacterial small subunit ribosomal RNA", at positions 29 to 258 of the family's 1533-position model. The record is from RNAcentral.
AAUGAACGCUGGCGGCAGGCCUAAAACAUGCAAGUCGAGCGGUAAGGCCCUUUCGGGGGUACGACGAGCGGCGAACGGGUGGAGUAACACGUGGGUGGACCUGCCCUCCAGCUCUGGGAGUAAGCCUGGGAAACCGGGUACGUAAUACUGGAUAUGACUCCAUGACGCAUGUUGUGGGGUGGAAAGCCUUGUGCGGCUGAGGAUGGGCCCGCGGCCUAUCAGCUUGUUGGUGGGGU